RNAcentral lists this ribosomal RNA (469 nucleotides) under uncultured bacterium. RNAcentral describes it as "SSU rRNA". It matches the Rfam family "Bacterial small subunit ribosomal RNA", at positions 26 to 518 of the family's 1533-position model. The record is from RNAcentral.
AGGACGAACGCUGGCGGCGUGCUUAACACAUGCAAGUCGAGCGGAAAGGCCCUUCGGGGUACUCGAGCGGCGAACGGGUGAGUAACACGUGAGUAAUCUGCCUUCAGCUCUGGGAUAGCUCCGGGAAACCGGGAUUAAUACCGGAUAUGACCACUUCGGACAUCUGUUGUGGUGGAAAGUUUUUCGGCUGGAGAUGAGCUCGCGGCCUAUCAGCUUGUUGGUGGGUAAAGGCCUACCAAGGCGACGACGGGUAGCCGGCCUGAGAGGGCGACCGGCCACACUGGGACUGAGACACGGCCCAGACUCCUACGGGAGGCAGCAGUGGGGAAUAUUGCGCAAUGGGCGGAAGCCUGACGCAGCGACGCCGCGUGGGGAUGAAGGCCUUCGGUUGUAACCCCUUUCAGCAGGGACGAAGCGCAAGUGACGGUACCUGCAGAGAAGCGCCGGCUAACUACGUGCCAGCAGCCGC